GAUCCUGGCUCAGGAUGAACGCUAGCUACAGGCUUAACACAUGCAAGUCGAGGGGCAGCAUAAUGGAUAGCAAUAUCUAUGGUGGCGACCGGCGCACGGGUGCGUAACGCGUAUGCAACCUACCUUUAACAGGGGGAUAACACUGAGAAAUUGGUACUAAUACCCCAUAAUAUCAUAGAAGGCAUCUUUUAUGGUUGAAAAUUCCGAUGGUUAGAGAUGGGCAUGCGUUGUAUUAG
This 236-nucleotide ribosomal RNA is filed under the name uncultured bacterium. RNAcentral's name for it is "partial 16S ribosomal RNA". It matches the Rfam family "Bacterial small subunit ribosomal RNA", at positions 15 to 244 of the family's 1533-position model. The record is from RNAcentral.